Molecule: long non-coding RNA, 2774 nt
Organism: Pan troglodytes (chimpanzee)
Lineage: Eukaryota; Metazoa; Chordata; Mammalia; Primates; Hominidae
Exons: 3
Source: RefSeq, a predicted model, not a curated record
UUCCUGCUCGUGCCACCAGGCCCCGGGGCCGCGACGCGUCUCUCCAGCCCGGGAUCCGGGGAGCUGGGCUGUCCCCAGACCGACGGGACAGAGGCAUCUCCUCCACCUGAAAAGGAAAGAGGACCAGUUUGCAGGACUCCGAACUGGGCCCGCGAGAUCUCCACCUGCGCAAAACGAAAGGGCGGAUUCUCCUUGGACUCACGAGGCAACCGCUCCCCGAGGUGAGAACGGGGGACUCAUUCCUCCUGCACUGGGAGAAGACGAUUCUUUAGGAGGAGGACAGGGAAGCGAAUGCUACCCAGGAAGAAAGCUCAGAACAGCCCUCAGAAAACUGCAUGUUGACAGCACCCAGAGUCCUGGCUGGAAGAGGGAAGGGCACUCACAGAGCUGCUUCCCUGGAGCUGUGUCUCUCCCAACUGCCUUGAAGGAAUCUCUUGGGAAGGCAGCGACUUCUGGCCUCUGGGGACCUAAAGAAGCCAAGUGGCAAAGCGGUAUGAAAACUAAACCAAUUCUAGGUCCAGGUGUACAUCAAGGCAGUUUGUGGGGCACGUGGCAGGUCUGCUGAAACACAGUGCCUGCCCCUCGCCAACCUUCUCUCUCUGGCAGGAACCCCCUCCUUUGAGUUAAAAGUGUUGCAGACCCCAGGAAAUGCCUGAGAGACCUUGUGCCUUAACAGAGAGAGAUGUUAUGUGCACCGGAUCCCCAACAUGCUUUGCAAAUGUUUAAGGGAGAAGACAGACAUGGGCCAGAUACAACACAAACAAGGCUCUCAGGCCACCAGGCUGAGUGAAAGUGCUAUACAGAGGCUUCUUGGCCACCUGGGGCCCCUUUGAGCCUAUGAGGGAUCCUGGGAGGGUAGUGGAGUGAGGACAGCAGAGGAGCACCAAAGACAAACUCAGCCCAUUUCACAAUUUUAUCGUGAGCCAGCCCUAUCUUAGCCCUCUCAUUUUGAAGAAAAGCCAAAUUUGUAUUUAAAAAAAUACUUACGCCUGAUCCAUUCCCUAUUGUGAAAUAAGCACAUUUAUUACACAGAAGGAAACCUGAUGUCUCUCAGACCUUGAGCAGACUAUUUACAACAUUUGGGCUACAAGGCAAGGUGACCUUCAGACCACGAAGUGGCGAUGGCUUGCAUAGGGCAAGGCAGGGUCUCUGAGAGAACGUGAGACACACAGGCCACCACCAUGUUUUAGGGGACCUGGGAUUUUGCAACAGGAAGAAAUAACAGGUUAGAAAAAUGCAUGCUUUAAAACAUUUAAAAUUUAAAAAUAGAAUGCUUUCACACACACACACACUGCAACACAAUAUAAUUGUGCCAUUUACUAGUAAUGAUAUAAACAUAUCUGAAUGCCCCUUUGAACACAAAGCACAGCUAAAUGCCCCACCUCCAGCAGACAGACCCUGAAGCAACACACCCCCAAAAAAACAAGUGACAGAUAUAUAUGAUAGAUAGAUAGAUAGAUAGAUAGAUACUAUUUUUUUUGAGACAGAGUCUGGUUCUGUCUCAGAAGGGUCAGGUUGCCCAGGCUGGAAUGCAGUGGCACGAUCUUGGCUCUCUGCAACCUCCACCUCCCUGGCUCAAGCUAGCCUCCUACCUCAGCCUCCCAAGUAGCUGGGACGACAGGUGCAUGUCAGCAUACCCAGCUAAUUUUGGUAGAAAUGGAGUCUCACUAUGUGGCUCAGGCUGCUCACUACGAGCUCAGAAGAGCUCAUGCAAUCCACCCACCUCGGCCUCCCAAAGUAUUGGGAUUACAGACAUGAGUCACCAUACCCGGCCAUAAGUGACAGAUAUUGACAUAAGCCCUGCAAUAGGAAUCUGAGACCCAGGAUUGGACAGGUCAACUAGCAAUGCUUCUAAAUACAAGUGAUCUGGCAAGCUGGCAAAAUGUUUGAGUUUCAUUCUUUGAGGUCAAAGUUUCAUUCUUGAUUUGGAUCAAAGAGGAAGGAGAAAAAGGCACAAACUGAACCAUCAACUCUGUCACUGAAAAGUGGUCCCCUGGAUCUUAGUGCUUUGCCACCUUCUUGCCACCCCUAUAGUAAAAUGCUUUUUUAUUCUUUCUUUAAAAAUUUCUGUUAUUAUUAUUUUAUUUAAAUGGGGUCUCGCUAUGUUGUCCAGGCUGGUCUCCAACUUCUGGCCUCAAGCAAUCUUCCCACUCCAGCCUCCCAAAGUGCUGGGAUUACAGACAUAAGCCACCAUGUCCAGCCAUGAUUUUUAAAGGCAGGCAUACUUUAUACUUUUUGUACACACUUAUAGCUCUGAUUCUUUUUUUAAACAUAUUUAUUUAUUUUUGUUGAGAUGAGGUCUCGCUAUGUUGCCCAGGCUGGUCUUGAACUCCUGGGCCCAAGUGAUCCUCCUGCUUCGGCCUCCCAAGUAGCUGAGAUUACAGGUGAGAGCCACCAUGCCUGGUUCAGGCUCUGAUUCUUAUGUCAGUGAAUGCCCAGUAAAUUCUUGUUGGCUUGAACUGAAUUAUCAAGAAGGUGCUAUCAAGAAUUCUUUGAGCCGGGCACGGUUGCUGACGCCUGUAAUCCCAGCACUUUGGGAGGCUGAGGCAGGCAGAUCACUUGAGGCCAGGAGUUCGAGACUAGCCUGGCCAACAUGGUGAAACCUGGUCUCUACUAAAAAAUAAAAAAAUUAGCCAGGCAUAGAGAUGCACACCUGCAGUCCCAGUUACUCAGGUGGCUGAGGCAAGAGAAUUGAUUGAACCCAGGAGGCGGAGGUUGCAGUGAGCCAAGAUCACACCACUGCACUCCUGGGUGACAGAGUGAGACCCUGUUUC